UACGUAGGGGGCAAGCGUUGUCCGGAAUCAUUGGGCGUAAAGCGCGUGUAGGCGGCCAUCCAAGUCCGAUGUGAAAGCUCGGGGCUCAACCCCGAGUCUGCAUUGGAAACUGUAUGGCUUGAGUCCGGAAGAGGCGAGUGGAACUCCUGGUGUAGCGGUGGAAUGCGCAGAUAUCAGGAAGAACACCAACGGCGAAGGCAGCUCGCUGGGACGGUACUGACGCUGAGACGCGAAAGCGUGGGGGAGCGAACAGG
Molecule: ribosomal RNA, 254 nt
Filed under: uncultured bacterium
Lineage: Bacteria
Description: partial 16S ribosomal RNA
Rfam family: Bacterial small subunit ribosomal RNA
Source: RNAcentral